RNAcentral lists this long non-coding RNA (870 nucleotides) under Rosa chinensis. RNAcentral's name for it is "sRNA RchiOBHm_Chr1g0378691". Lineage: Eukaryota; Viridiplantae; Streptophyta; Magnoliopsida; Rosales; Rosaceae. The record is from RNAcentral.
GAUUCUUAUGUAGGGAAGACAGAAGACGAAAUGCUGUCUUUACUACCCUGCUCAACCCUAGCUCCCCACACAAACCAAUCCUAGUCAGUGACUUAAAAAUGGCCGAUUUAAAGCAAUUUCUUGCUGAUGACGGUGUCCAGGUUGAAUUUGCUGGUGGGGCUUUGCGAUGUGGUGAAUAUGUGAAUACGCAAGGUUGGGGAUGCAAGCCAUAAGGGUGGUGGUGCUGGUUCGCAGCAAGUUGUGAUUGAAGGACAUGAAGGUCCAGCAUGUGAGGAUUAUUACAAGAUACGGGAAUAUCUCUAUUCGCACUUUUAUUUUCUUUGAGAAACAAUUUAGGAAGUUUUGGGGUUAGUUGGAGCCUGGAGCCUAAAUUCUUUUAAUUAGACUGGGGCUGGGUGUAGUAGAUGAUCACUAACUAGCAUCUAUUAGUUAAGGGGUGUUCGUUUGACCUAUGAAAAACUUUACGGAACUCAUUGAGGCCUAUUUGUAUUGCAGCCUCAAAUCGAGUAUUCCCCAGUGGGCGAAAGUCCCCAUUUGUAACACAAAAGUAGAAAACAAUUCCAUUACCUGACUUCCAUAUAAUCCCAUUUAUAUCCAUAUUUGUGAAAGUAUGUAAGAUAUCCCAGGAACAGAAGUUGCAGAAUGGCAACUUCAACAUAAACCAUGCACUACUGGCUUCAGCAGAUUCAGCACUUUUCGUGUUAAAUACAUCACUCAUGAUUCUAGUUCCUAGAUAAUACAUUCCCCAGGCUCCACUCUCGUCUUCUCUCAACUGUGAUUCCAAGGCUUUUGUGUUUUUCUUCCUUGACGACUUCUUAUUGUUUCAUUAUUUCACCACGUGUAUUUCUGAUAAUUUUGUGCAUCUGGGAC